RNAcentral lists this long non-coding RNA (11637 nucleotides) under Lathyrus oleraceus (garden pea). RNAcentral's name for it is "Pisum sativum (pea) long non-coding RNA (PSAT_LNC042079)". Lineage: Eukaryota; Viridiplantae; Streptophyta; Magnoliopsida; Fabales; Fabaceae. The record is from RNAcentral.
AAGAACAAACAUUUACAGAGAAAUGAAUUAAGCGUAGAAGGGAAACUAUGCAUACACUCAUGAAUCUGGGAAUGAAACUCCGAAGAGGGAAGAAAUUUACCGGAUCGGGGUACUUUGGAGCGGAUGAACAGGUGCGUGACCACUUCUCUUCCUUCUCCUUUGGACUCACCUCUCAUUUAUAGCUUCACUCAGGUUCUCAAAGAAUCAAUCUGAAUGAUCUCGUUGUGUCGGCCCUUUUCAUUUUGUAGAAUUCUUCCUUUUUUGUUAGUGAACAGUAACGGCGACCCUUUUACAAUUAGGGUUGGUGUCCUUUUAUAUGUGUGAAAAAUGAGGAUAACAAGUUCAAAAGAAAACGUGAGUGGGUUUUCUGAAUCAAUCUCCUGAUAGUGGUUUAUCCUCAAGCCCUGAUUCAAAGAAUCCUUUUUUGAGUGGUGGUGAGAGUGUGUACGGGAAUCUUUGGAAUUUUUUUGUCUUUGUCUGCCUUGUGGUCCCUGACCAGUGCAUUUUGAUGCACUUUCUUCUACUAUUGUACUUAGGAAAUUAUAUAGUUUAUUAUAUUAUUUUUAUUAUUUUAGUAUGUUUUAAUAUUUAAGUUUAUUUUUGCCUUUAUUUUAUUUUCGUACUUUAUUUUUAGGAUAAAUAGUUAUUUGAUACCUUAUCACUAUGCAGAUCAUAACUUGGGCUAUAUGAGUCGGAUUGACACGUUCGAAUAUGUGUUGGAAAGCUAAGAGAAAGAACUACAAGUUUCUUGUUGAAGUCAAAAGCAGAUUCAUAAUGAAGAAGGGUCGAUUAAUUCGUUGAAGUUUCAGAUUUAAUUAAAAUAGUUAGUUUGGGUCAGUUUUUGUAAUUUUUGGGCCGGAUCCUAUAAGGGCCCGUAUUUGCCUUUUAUUAUAUUAGGUCUUUCACUACUACAGUAAUCCUAAUUCUGAAUUUUGAUGAGACAAUAUUGCUUAGAGGAUUUCAUGGAUAUCUAAUUCCCAAAGAGCUGAUAUGUUGUAUUCGGAUUCCCCUUUGAGGUUUUUAAUAAUUUUAGUUUAAUUUCGAUUUCUUUUCAAUUCUUCCUAUAAACUCAUUUGCUUAAUUCGACUACUUUCGUUUGCUUAAUUCAAUUGUUUCUUAUAGGAUAGAGUUGAUUAAAUUUGAUUGUUUGUAUGAUCCUUAACUAUAAUCACAUUAGCGUAGCUUUUUCGUUAUCGUGUUUGAUUAAGUCGCGUUUGCUUAAUUCACAUCUGCUUAAAUCCGUUUGUUUAAUUUGGAAAUUAGGAGCAUACAUCAUAUAAUACCAAUUUGCACUUGUCAGUGGAUAUUGUAAUCGAAUGGGAUUGAAUCCGCUAGGGAAUUAAAAUUAUAAGAAUCGAUGAUAAGUCGGAAAUCGAUACAAUAGAUUAGCUUAUUUAUCAAUUUUGAUUUUACCUUUAAUAAUCAUCCAUUUAAGUUUUGGACCUUAAAAAUCCCCUUAUUUUCAUUCGUUUGGUUAUAACAUUCAAGAGUCCUUGUGAUACGAUAUUCGAGUGUCGCUUCUGUUUUACUACACUUUAAACUCGUUUUUGACCCGUGUGCGACAGCGAAUCAAAUUGGCGACGUUGCCGGGGACUCUUGUAGAUCUUAACCAUUAGUAUAGUCUAAUCAUUAUUAUAGUUUUUUCUUGCGUUUUGGUCUUUUUGCGUUUUAGGAUAAAAAAAAAUCAGUUUUAAAAAAAAAUCGUCUCAGAUUAUUUCAAUUUUUUGUUGACUCAUUAGGAAAAAAUCAAGGAUUAAAAGUAUUAAUUUAGGAACUAAAUAGUGGAAACCGUUCUAAAAAUCUGAAUUUCCUUAUUUUUCUAUUUUUUAUGAUUUAUUUUCUGUUUUGAUAGUUUCAGAAAAUUCCGCAAAAAUUCUCAAAAUUCUUAAUUGACAUUAUUAGAUUAAUUUUCAUAUUUUUGUAUUUUUUUUCCUUUUAUUUUAAUAGUUUUUUUUCGCAUUUCAAUUGUUUUUUUUAAUAGGGACAUUAUCGGUAUUUUUCUAUUUGUUGCUGCAUUGCUGAAUUAGUUGUGUUUUCUCAUUGUUUGUUGAUUUUUUUUCUUUUCUAUUGAGUUUAACAUGGCUGACCAAAAAACUCCGAGAGAACUUGUUGGCCCUGAUGUUGAUUAUAAUGCUUUGUGUAUUGAUAAGACUCCAGUUGCUGUCAAAUCCUUAAUUGAGAAGAUGUCACUUAACUCUCAACAGUUCACAACAAGGGAUAAUUUUGUGGUCCAAGCAAAAGGUGUGAAUGAGAUUCAGGUUUCUUCUUCCAACAAAGCUCUAGAAACUAGAAUUGAUGAACUUACCUCUUUAGUGAAACAAUUGAUGCCACUCAUUCCACCACCACCACCAUAUAACCCUCCACAAGUAACCACCUCUUCACCUUCUGAACCUUCACUUGAGGAUCUUGUCAAGCAAAUGAUUGUAAAUAAUCUUCAGUUUCAACAACGAACAGAUUCUAGUAUUCAGACUUUACAAACACAAAUUAGACAGUUUGCCACUUUAAUGAAUGUCAUGCAGCAAGCUCGAGGAUCGAACCAACUACCUGCCUAAAUAGUAGUGAAUCCAAAAGUCCCCAAUGUGAGUGCAAUUUCUUUGAGAUCCGAAAAAGUUGCAGAACCAGCCCCAGAAAAAAAUAAAAAAAUUGUUAGUGUAACACCUGAAAAUAAACCCGAACCUUCUAUUGUUGUUGAGGUUGAAAAAAAUAUGUAUUACCAAUCCCUUUCCCACAAGGAGUACUGAAAAAUAAAAAGAUUGACGAGGAAGAGCAUUUUGUUUUAAAAAUAGAGUUGCUUUCUGAAGUUGUUGGUGAAGCUUGUUCUGAUUUGUUUUCAGCUGAUUUUCCAACUUUAUCUAGUUUUGAUGAUAUUUACUCAUGUGAUGAUUGUAGUACCACUAACCUUUGUGCUGUUUGUGCUGAGAUUGACGCUGCCUUGCAGGGUGAUAGUGUAAAUGAAGUUGUUUAUGUAGUUGACGUUUUUGACAUCCCAACUUCCUCAAAUAUAUCAUCCAUUGAACAACCAUCUUCUUUAGAGCCUAAACCACUUCCCGAGGGUUCACAUUAUUCAUCAAAGCUUCAACUUAAGCAGAAACAUAAGAAGGGAAUUGGAUGGACCUUGGCUGACACUCAUGAUAUUAGCUCAUCCAUAUGUAUGCAUAGGAUCUCGCUUAAAGAUGAAACAAAAGUAGUGAGAUAACCCCGUAAUCCUUUAAUUCGUGAUGUUGUGAAAAAUGAGAUCACUUUCACGUGUCCAUUCAACACUUUUACUUAUAGAAGAUUCUUCUUUGAUCCUGGAAUACAAGGCAAAUGCACUAAGAAAAAUUUCAAAGUCAAUAGACACUUCCCAAAGCUACUCCAUGAGAACCCGACUUUGGAAGGAGAUGCUGUAGAAGAGCUCUCUUUAGGAAAGGCUGCUUAUGCAAUCACUUACCUGCCUUGACUCCUCGGGUGUGUUCUUUCCUUUCUCCCACUCUUAUUUUAUAUUUAUGGUCUUUCAUUGAGGACAAUGUAUGUUUUAGGUGUGGGGGAGGGAACCAUUUAUUUUUUUUGUUUUCUUUAUUUUUUUUUCCAGUUUUUCUCUAUUUGGGUUUUUUUUUUGCUUUCUUAAAAAAAAUUGCAUGCUUUUUCCUUUGGUUUUUAAGUUACAAUUAUGAGCAUUUUUCUUAGUUCUCUUGACUAAAGUCUUGUGGUGUGAUGUGAAAAAUUUGAUGUGCAUUUUUAGUAUGAUAGGUAGGACUAAACUCUGAAUUGUACAUCAUUUGUGGUAGAUCAAUUAACCUUGUGAGCUUUGAGCCUUAUAUGGAUUGUAAGACCCUAAUUUUGACCCUAAGAUCCCUCGUGGCAUCAUGUUAUUGCACUAGUGCAUUGCCUCAAGGAUCAUAGCAUGUUUGGCCCCUUAACCCUAGGGUUAGGACUUGUUUGAGUGAUUUAAGACCACCAAGCAUGCUUGUAUUGUAUAUUAUUGCUUUUCUUAUUUGAUUACUAACCAAAAGCACAAAAAUAUGUCACUAACUCUUUUGUUUUGGAGCUCAAGUGACCAUGUGCUCCACAAUACUCAUAGGAGGCUCCUAAGCCCAACGCAAUGGCUAUAUGAAGAUGAGAAAAAGCAUGGAAAUGGUCCACAAAGUUCCUAAUCAUCAUAUAUGUCUCUCAAGUAUUUCAAUUUUCCAAUUCAAUCAAGAUAACCCAAAGGGCUUGAAGAUUGUUUCCCAAGGAAACCCUAAUUUCAUUAUACUUUGACUGUGCCUUGCCCAUGAAGCAACCUCAACCCAUGAUCAAAUUUAAUCAAGGGAAGUUCUUUCAUUUAUCAUUUUAUGCAUAUAUGAGCCUAUUUUAGGCCCUUCAAUCAUUUAUUCAUCAAGAUUGGAAGUUUGACUUUGAAAAGUUGACCAGUCAAGUCAUCUGACUAGGAUGAGAUUCAAUGAGCUAUAAUUUUUGAUGUGUUUUUCAAAUGAAGAUGACCCCAAGAGAAAAAAAUGUUCCUAAGAACCAUAUUAAAAACUUUAAUGUUCAUCAAAAAUCCAUUUGAAUCUUGGAAGACCAUCAUUCAUUUCAAAACAUUAUAGGUCAUUUUGACUGAAACCCUCAUUUUGGGUCAACUUACCAAGGGCAUAACUUCCUUAAUUUUUAUGAUUUUGAGGUGAUACCAAGGGAAUUGGAAAUCUUGAGAUGUCUACUUCAAAUUUUAUGUUGGAAAAAACUUCAUAAUCCUAAAAUAAAUACAUAUGAUAAUGCAAAACAUUAUAGGUCAUCUUGGACCUAAUUCAUUGAAUUUGAAAAAGUACCCAACUUCAAAUGCCCAUAACUUUGUCAUAGAAAAUCCAAAUGAUCCUAAAAUAAAUACAUAUGAUAAUGCAAAACAUUAUAGGUCAUCUUGGACCUAAUUCAUUGAAUUUGAAAAAGUACCCAACUUCAAAUGCCCAUAACUUUGUCAUAGAAAAUCCAAAUGAUGCAAAUUUUGAGUCUAGAUUGACCAUCUUGAAAAGAUCUACAACUUUGGUGUUGGCGAUUUGUUAAUUUGAAGCUUUUAUCAUGAGGAAAGAGGGGUUUGCUUAAGCUUAGUUUUGGGUUAAUUUUUCAAAGUGAUUUGAAUAUGUUUUAUACUUGAACUUUCCAGGUCAGUUUUGAUCCAUUUUCACAUGCCAAAUGAUUUUUUGCCCAACAUGAAUUUUGUUCCUUAUUUCAAGAGCUUUCCAACCAUUACUCACAAUAGUCCUUGGGGUCUACCAUUUUUUAGUUUCGAAUUUCUUUUCAUUUAUGUGCAUUUUUGAUAUUUCAUGUUAUAACUUGGUAUGCAAGCAUUUCCCAUUCAAUGUGCACGACCAAAUGCCUUUCACAUGAUUUCAGCAAGCUUCUUUAGCCAUCCAUGGGCCUUUUACACGUCCACAAAGGCCCAUGCACUCAAAUUUCAAAUUCUCAUGCACAUGAGCAAAGUGUGAACUCAGCCAUAUUCAGCUAUAAAUAAACACCUCAUGAGCUUCAUUUGACAACCUUUUGGAGAUCCCAUAUGCUGCUGCACUGAAACCAUAGCCCUCACUAAAGGAAUCAAUCACUUUCUUAAAUAUUUUCGAGCUUGAAAUUCAGCAACAUUAGCUGAGUUUUAAAGCCAGAUUCCUUAGCCAAUCAGUUCCACUACACUCAUAGAUCAAAAAGGAGCAAAGAUCUUGAAGAAUUCGUGGCCAAAAGCUCAUCAAUUUGAAGGUUCAACUCAAACUAUUUGGAUUUGAAACUCCUAAUUCAAUGUAGCUUUCUUGUGUUCUGGUUGUUCUCUAAAGUCCUCAUACUUGAGGCAAGCUGUUGAUGCAUUCAAUUUGCCAUUUCAUGAACAAUCCGUGUGGACACCAUGAUUUUCUCCUUCAUCUUUCUCUCGAUAUAGGAAGAUUGAAAGAAAUCCAUUGGUACAGUGAUGGUCUACAUCACAAGAGCUUCAUUCCCAUGUCCUUGUUUUCCAUUUCUAUUGAGAUUUAUUUUUCUGCAACUCUGGCCGGAGUUUGUGUGGUUGGCCGGAGAAAACGGUGGUUUCCACCACCACCACCAUGUUUGCAUACUUAUGGCCCUUGGAUCUCCCUUCCAUGAUCUAAUCGUGUGCGUUCAUUUUAAUUACCUGUUUUAAUGCAUCAUGUGGCGCGUUUGACUCAAGCCUAGCGUGUGUCUUCAGAUCCAGACCAUACAUCCUUGCCACGUUAAUUAAUGAAUUGCAUCUUGUGGCUCAGACUUUUUCGCUUAUUUCAUUUUUCUUUUUAUUUUCUGUUAAUUCAUCUCAUUUUCAUUAAUUCUUUAAAAAUUCAUUUGAAGUCAGAAAAAUAUGACACCAACUCAAAAAAUUUUCUUGAAAAAUCUAGUUUCAUAUUAUGAUUUUUAAUUAUUUUUGUGACUUCAUUUGAUAUUUUUUAUGAAUUACUUGGUUUUUAAUGAUUUUAAUUCAUUUUAAAAUACUUUCUGACUUUUAAAAAAUAAAAAAAUAUUUUCAUAGCAUCUAUGGAUCAUGAUAAGUCAAUGAAAAAUAGUCUCAACAAUUUCUUAUUUGUUUUGAGAUUAUUUGAGAUUUUAAUUCAUAUUAUGCUAUUUUUGGUUGUUUUAAUUGAUUUUAAUUACUUUCUGAUUUCAAAAAUUUGUGAGGAAAUUAGUCAAAGUUCGUUUGACUAUAUUGAACCUAUGAGAAUUUAAUUGGACUCAUUGAAGUUGUUUUGAAUUGGAUUUGAGGUUCAACUUUGUUUAUUUAUUUUUUAUUUGUAUUUUCUUUUAAUUCGAAAAAUACCAAAAAAAUAUCAGACCCCUUGACUUGUUAUAUUCAUUUCUCUUCUGUUUGGUGUUGAUUGAGGUUGAAUUGAUUCAACUUUGAUCAAAUUCAUUGGAUCUUGUGGUUUGAAAAUCCUUAAGGAUCAUCACCUAGAAAGAUGAAUGAAUUUGAUCAAGGAUGAGUUAUCCCUUGAUCAAUUGGGAUUGUUUGUUGACUUCUUACCCCUUCCCUUUCAUCUUCAUCCCCUUCUUCUCUUCAAUCGCCAAUGAGUUAAAGUCUUGAGGUUGGUCUUGACAAAUAAGAAGUUUAACCUUCUUUAUUCCAAACCAAACUCAACUUGAUCCAUGAUCAAGUGAGUUAUUUUGUGUCAAAGAUAGGUUGCUUCUUGGUCAAGCAAAUAACCAAAAGUCACUACAAGGCCCUUCCCCUUUUGUUUGGCAUAGCAAGUUUAUGGAGCUUGGCUUACUAGUCAUGACCUCUAACUUGUUUUCUUUACCUAUAUUCUUAUUGAUCGGCCUCAGAUAGGUGUGACUACUACAUUAGUCCACUUACGAUUGCUUAACAUAUCGCUACAUUGUCUUAUGACAAGCUAACAUAACUCUACUAACUACUAACUUUAAUUUGAGCUUUUAAAUUCUUGUCAUUUACUUUUAAUGUCAUUUAUUUCUUGCUCAUUAUUCAUCUUGAUUUUCAUAGCUUUUAAAUUCUUGUCAUUUACUUUUAAUGUCAUUUAUUUCUUGCUCAUUAUUCAUCUUGAUUUUCAUCUUUGCUCACUUGAGCCCAUAUUUUAUGUUUAUGUCAUUUUUCUUUUGCUCAUUUGAGUCCAUUAUUGUAUAUAAAUGUAUUGCUAUUUUGUGUUGUUUGUGUUUGUUUUGAUGUGAACCAAAAUGCAAAAGGAGAAAGGAAUUAGAAUUAGGACUUACCCAUGCUUAAAGGAGUUCAAGAGCAACUAGGCCUCAUGCCUUUAGAAUGCAAAAUUUGUUGAGAGCAACUAGGCCUCAUUCCUUUAGAAUGCUAAAAUUCAAAGUUGACCUUAAAGGACUUCUCCUCAAACUUAUUCUUUGUCCAUUCCCUUUAUUUUGUUGUGAGCUUUUUGAUGUGUGCUUUUGUGUGAUAGGAACCUCAUCUUAAGAUUGUGAAAAGAGGACCAUUGUCAUGGGUAGCCAAGUUAAGAGUCAAGUCAAAUGGAGAUCCUAGGAGCUUGAAUUCAAAUUAUUUGAUUGCUUGUUUUGUGUGCUAAAUCCAAAGGAAAGGAGCAUUUUGAGUCAUCUCUAUGACUCCAAGAAAAGGAAAUCCAAGGGUUAUCUUUCCCCUCUUAUCUUUGUAUGCUUUAGGAAUAGCCUUUCUUUCUUCUCCCCACUCUAACCAAGCCAAAAAUCAUUUUCAAAACUUUGACUUUAUUUCAAAUUAGAAACCUAGGCCUUAGGCCUUUGAAUUUUUCAAAACCAUUUUCAUAAGUACUCCUUGUAAAUAAACUUUAACCCAACUUUGACCUCAUUUUGUAAAUAAAUUUAACUUGUAAAUAUAACCCAUUUCAAGUUGUUUUUGUGGUUCCAAUGGCCACUUUGUUAAAAUCUUUUCAAGAACAUUAGUCAUAGGUUUGAGUUAUCAUAGUGGGUGAUGUAAAUCUCACCUCAUCCUUAGUGUUGGAUCAUAAGCCUUCCAUGCUUAUUAUAGGGGUUAACCCCUCACUAGCAUGUUGAAGUCUUCCUUACAUGGUGGAUUGUUGGUUUAGGUUGAGUUUUCUCCCUUUGGUAACAAAAGACCUUAAGGCUUCUGAUUAAAAUCAAUUCACCAACCUUUGAAAUUUUUACCACGAACUAUGAGGUUUUGAUCCUCCUUUGUGAUGGUACGUAAGCAAUGGUUUCAUCCAUUCAAACAACAAACUCGUAAAUAUGAUCUAUUCUCUUCUCAUCCAUCCAAUCUUUUGCACAAAUAUUUUCACAAAUACCAACCUCUAACACAUAUUUGCAAAAAGAGGUUCCCUUAGAGUACUAAGGAUGUUUUGGGUGCGUAAAACCUUCCCAUUUUAUAACCAACCCCCUUACCUAGAUCUCUGACAUUUUUAUUAGUUUUUUAUUUGAAAAACUUCUUACUUGGCUUUUGUUUGCUUUUUAGCCUUUCCUUUGGACAAAUAAAAGUGCGGUGACGACUCGAAUUGUAUGUUGACUUUCGGUUUAGUCAAUAAACCUAAAAGUAACGAAAACCCCGCUACAUGGAUAACAUACAAAAAUCCAUCUCUUUCUUUCUUGUGUGAUUCACUCAUGUUUGUUAGUCUCUAGAACUUGAAUUGACUUUUAUUGAUGUUGUUGUUUACUUGUGCACACUGAUAUGAUAAAGGCAGUUUUGUUUUUUGUUUUUUUAGCCAGUUAGCCAAAAAGCCAACCCUGAAAUAAUAUCAUCCCUUGUUUGAAACCCCCUUGAGCCUAUUAUCCUUUGUUUGUUUAAAACUCAUUACAAACCGAAAAGUGAAAAACAAUGUUAAAUCACCUUAUUCAAAGGGUUGAAAGAGUCUUGUUUGGAGUUGUGUAUGGUUGAAUAAUUAUGUUUGCAAUAUUUCAGAAGUUGGUAGAAAAAGAAAAAAAAUAGAAAAAGAAAAUAGAAAAGAAAAAAAAUAGAAGGAUGUAUACGUGUCAAUACAUACUCCUUAUGAAAAAGGAAAGAAAAAAAUAUGAAUGAAAACAAUUACUAUAAAGUUGUUGAAGUGAAUGAAAUAUUUUGUAAAUUCAACUCCCACAGUUUCUUUCAAGUCUCUUUUAUCUCUUUGAAUUUUAGCCUAGUCCCUUAGGAUUUAUCUCACCCUUACCUUGAUCACGUUACAACCAAAUAAAAGUCCUUUUGAUCUUUGUGUGCAUGUAUUUUAAUUGUGGAUGUUAGAGUCUUUUCAAGCUUAUGGUAGUACUAACUUUCAUGUUGUGCUUUGAGUGUAAACAUUUAAUCUAAACACUUAGAGUUGAGUGAAUUAUAUCCUGUGAGGAUCUUAUUAUGAUUGAUGUACUCUUUGGUAACUUAUUUUCCUAUCUGCUUUGAAUGUCACAAAAAGUUGCUUACUAAUAUCAUAUUCUUAAAGCUUGGACUUAUAAUUUUGCUUUUACCUUGUAUCUUGAUAACCUAUGGAAUUGCAUGUUUUGUUUGUUCUCAUUUUUCUGUUUUGAGUUUUGAAUUUAUAAUUUUGUUCGGAGUGCAAAAGUUCAAGUGUGGGGGAAUUUGAUCAGUGCAUUUUGAUGCACUUUCUUCUACUAUUGUACUUAGGCAAAUCUAUAGUUUAUUAUAUUAUUUUUAAUAUUUUAGUGUGUUUUAAUAAUCAAGUGUGGGGGAAUUUGAUCAGUGCAUUUUGAUGCACUUUCUUCUACUAUUGUACUUAGGCAAAUCUAUAGUUUAUUAUAUUAUUUUUAAUAUUUUAGUGUGUUUUAAUAUUUAAGUUUAUUUUUGCCUUUAUUUUAUUUUCAUACUUUAUUUUCAGCAUAAAUAGUUAUUUGAUACCUUAUCACUAUGCAGAUCAUAACUUGGGCUAUAGAAGUCGGAUUGACACGUUCUAAUAUGCGUUGGAAAGCUUAGAGAAAGAACUACAAGUUUCUUGUUAAAGUCAAAAGCAGAUUCAUAAUGAAGAAGGAUCGAAUAAUUCAUUGAAGUUUCAUACUUAAUUAAAAUAGUUAGUUUGGGUCAGUUUUUGUAAUUUUCGAGUCAGAUCCUAUAAGGGCCCGAAUUUGCCUUUUAUUAUAUUAGGUCUUUCACUACUAUAGUAAUCCUAAUUCUGAAUUUUGAUGAGACAAUAUUGCUUAGAAGAUUUCAUGAAUAUCUAAUUCCCAAAGAGCUGAUCUGUUGUAUUCGGAUUCCCCUUUGAGGUUUUUAAUAAUUUCAGUUUAAUUUUGAUUUCUUUUCAAUUCUUCCUAUAAACUCGUUUGCUUAAUUCAAUUACUCUCGUUUGCUUAAUUCGAUUGUUUCUUAUAGGAUAGAGUUGAUUAAAUUUGAUUGUUUGUAUGAUCCUUAACUAUAAUCACGUUAGCGUAGCUUUUUCGUUAUCGUGUUUGAUUAAGUCGCGUUUACUUAAUUCGCGUCUGCUUAGAGUUGAUUAAAUUUGAUUGUUUGUAUGAUCCUUAACUAUAAUCACGUUAGCGUAGCUUUUUCGUUAUCGUGUUUGAUUAAGUCGCGUUUACUUAAUUCGCGUCUGCUUAAAUCCGUUUGCUUAAUUUGGAAAUUCGGAGCAUACAUCAUAUAAUACCAAUUUGCGCUUGUCAGUGGGUAUUGUAAUCGGAUGGGAUUGAAUCCUCUAGGGAAUUAAAAUUAUAAGAAUCGAUGAUAAGUCGGAAAUUGAUACAAUAGAUUAGCUUAUUUAUCAAUUUUGAUUUUACUUUUAAUAAUCAUCGAUUUAUGUUUUGGACCUUAAAAACCCCCUUAUUUUCAUUCGUUUGGUUAUAACAUUCAAGAGUCCUUGUGAUACGAUAUUCGAGUGUCGCUUCCGUUUUACUACACUUUAAACUCGUUUUUGACCCGUGUGCGACAGCGGAUCAGUCCCUCUUCCACUCCCAGCUUAAACUUUUACUGUUAGAAACUGGUUAUUUACCAUCAUAAAUUUAUUUAAACCAAGCAGAAUAUGUGUUUUCUUGUGAUUGUGUUGCUUUUGCUAACUUGAAAUGAAACAUUUUUACAGGGAAAUACAUUGUAUAGUGCUGAGUUUGGGGGUGAUGCUUGCAAGGAGUAUGGCCCGUUUAUGCAUUAAGCUGGCUCUGAUGUGAGAUUGUGCAGAAGUUUGACCUUACUUGUUGUUGUUUCAGUUUAACCUUGGCAUGACAGUUUAUCAUAUCCAAUCCAGUAGUGUGUCACUAACUCCUCCAAUCCUCUUGCAGGCGUAGCCUUUUGCUUAUAAGCCCAUCCCAGCGGAUCAAUACGGAGGACCA